This 89-nucleotide transfer RNA is filed under the name Stygiolobus caldivivus. Its description in RNAcentral is "Stygiolobus sp. KN-1 tRNA-Val". It matches the Rfam family "tRNA". Rfam says of the family: Transfer RNA (tRNA) molecules are approximately 80 nucleotides in length. Their secondary structure includes four short double-helical elements and three loops (D, anti-codon, and T loops). The record is from RNAcentral. Lineage: Archaea; Thermoproteati; Thermoproteota; Thermoprotei; Sulfolobales; Sulfolobaceae.
GGGCCCGUCGUCUAGCCUGGUUAGGACGCCGCCCUGACGACCUAUGGUUAGAGCGGCGGAAAUCCUGGGUUCAAGUCCCAGCGGGCCCA